Molecule: ribosomal RNA, 253 nt
Filed under: uncultured bacterium
Lineage: Bacteria
Description: partial 16S ribosomal RNA
Rfam family: Bacterial small subunit ribosomal RNA
Source: RNAcentral
UACGUAGGGUGCAGGCGUUGUCCGGAAUCAUUGGGCGUAAAGAGCGUGUAGGCGGCUCGAUCAGUCCGCUGUAAAAGUCCAGGGCUCAACCCUGGGAUGCCGGUGGAAACUGUCGGGCUAGAGUCCGGGAGAGGCGAGUGGAAUUCCUGGUGUAGCGGUGAAAUGCGCAGAUAUCAGGAGGAACACCAAUGGCGAAGGCAGCUCGCUGGAACGGUACUGACGCUGAGACGCGAAAGCGUGGGGAGCAAACAGG